CCCUUAGAUGUUCUGGGCCGCACGCGCGCUACACUGAUGCAUUCAACGAGUUUCUUCCUGGUCCGAGAGGAAUGGGUAACCUUUUGAAAGUGCAUCGUGAUAGGGAUAGACUAUUGCAAUUAUUGGUCUUCAACGAGGAAUUCCUAGUAGACGUAGUUCAUCAGACUGCAUGGAUUACGUCCCUGCCCUUUGUACACACCGCCCGUCGCUCCUACCGAUUGAAUGCCCAGGUGAGCCAUUCGGACUUUCAUCAUGCUGGUUUCCAGUUUUGAUGAAGGAAAGUCUUGCGAACCUUAUCAUUUAGAGGAAGGAGAAGUCGUAACA
This 324-nucleotide ribosomal RNA is filed under the name uncultured eukaryote. RNAcentral's name for it is "partial 18S ribosomal RNA". It matches the Rfam family "Eukaryotic small subunit ribosomal RNA", at positions 1470 to 1796 of the family's 1831-position model. The record is from RNAcentral.